GAUGAAGAACGCAGCGAAAUGCGAUACGUAAUGUGAAUUGCAAAUUCAGUGAAUCAUCGAGUCUUUGAACGCACAUUGCGCCCCUGGUAUUCCGGGGGGCAUGCCUGUCCGAGCGUCAUUGCUGCCCUCAAGCACGGCUUGUGUGUUGGGCCCCGUCCUCCGAUCCCGGGGGACGGGCCCGAAAGGCAGCGGCGGCACCGCGUCCGGUCCUCGAGCGUAUGGGGCUUUGUCACCCGCUCUGUAGGCCCGGCCGGCGCUUGCCGAUCAACCCAAAUUUUUUAUCCAGGUUGACCUCGGAUCAGGUAGGGAUACCCGCUGAACUUAAGCAUAUCAAUAAGCGGAGGA
This 345-nucleotide unclassified non-coding RNA is filed under the name soil metagenome. Its description in RNAcentral is "partial contains 5.8S ribosomal RNA, internal transcribed spacer 2, and large subunit ribosomal RNA". The stretch from base 1 to 118 matches the Rfam family "5.8S ribosomal RNA", at positions 35 to 154 of the family's 154-position model. The record is from RNAcentral.